RNAcentral lists this long non-coding RNA (1201 nucleotides) under Homo sapiens (human). RNAcentral's name for it is "long non-coding RNA NONHSAT206859.1". The record is from RNAcentral. Lineage: Eukaryota; Metazoa; Chordata; Mammalia; Primates; Hominidae.
CUCAGUUAGCCACAGGGAGUCCAUUUUGUCUGUCAGCCAGGGGCAUACUUUAAAAUAACCCAGAGUCUCUUCCCCUUUCUGUCUGCUCAAAAAAGAUUCUGUGCAGCUCUUUUGAUCCUUGAUUCUUUGCAGAAUUGGAAUAUAGGGCAGAACUGGAACUUUGCAUCUAAACUUGGAGGAAAACAGAGCUUGGAAGACCGACAAGUGAACAGUUGAUAGUGUCCUGUUCUCCUGUUGUGUACACUGCCGAGGCAUUUGGAAACAAUUUGUGCCGAAGACAGAAAGUACACCUAACGUUAAGCUGAAAAAACUGGACGCUCCCAGCAAACUCACUUUGCAGACUCCUGGUUGUCAGAAGAAAACGCCAGAGGAUUUCACUUGGCAUUGACCUCUUACUACUUCCAGCCACUUACCCUGGGCAGUAGAAAGAAGGAACAGAAAGCAGAGUAGAUUAAGAGGAGCAAGUACAAAUGGCGUGGGACUUCAAAUCACCACCUAAGAUUACUUCUUUGAUUUCUGAAAAAGUAGGUCAAAGGAAGAUGUCAGGGCUUUGUUACAGGGUCAACUUCUCGAUGCUUGGCUCCUUCCUGUCUGAUAAGAACCAUCCCUCAGCCUUCAGACAAACAGGUGUUAAGUAUCUUUUCCUCAUCUAUCCUAGGCUUGUGGCUUAGAUCCCUCUAACACAAGACAAAUUAACAAGGGUAAAACAUACACAUUUCUUUAAUAUAAGUUUUACAUGACAUGGAAACUUCAAAAAUGAAGACCCACCCCCCAAACAGAGAAACCUGUGUAUUUUCAUGCUCAGGUUUGAUGAAAGUGUGAUUGGACAAAGGGAGUAUGAUGUCAUGGUAAUAAAUGGGGGGGAACUUAGCAAGGUCUGUUUGUCCAUAUUCUUCGUGGUGUUUCUGUGUCUUCCUUCCUUUUCUCUGGGAGUAAGGAGGGCACUUGUCACAUGAGGUCUUAUGACCUGCUUCAAGGUAGAAGGGAGAAUACAUGUAAAAGUGAACUUCCUGCUUCUGUGCUUUUCCCAAAUGCCAAGUUGCUAUAUUUUAAGGUAGCGUGUCCUGAACCCCAUCACAGGCUUUUGGUAGGCCUGCCCAGGUUCAGUAUGACCACUGGGGGUGAUCCACACGUGAACCAAAGCCAGAUCCCAACUACACAUGGGAGUUUCCUAAAAAGAAAUCCACCCUUAACAUCAUAU